RNAcentral lists this ribosomal RNA (301 nucleotides) under uncultured bacterium. RNAcentral describes it as "partial 16S ribosomal RNA". It matches the Rfam family "Bacterial small subunit ribosomal RNA", at positions 509 to 809 of the family's 1533-position model. The record is from RNAcentral.
CAGUAGCCGCGGGAAUACGAAGGGUGCAAGCGUUACUCGGAAUUACUGGGCGUAAAGCGUGCGUAGGUGGUGGUUUAAGUCCGUUGUGAAAGCCCUGGGCUCAACCUGGGAAUUGCAGUGGAUACUGGGUCACUAGAGUGUGGUAGAGGAUAGUGGGAUUUCCGGUGUAGCAGUGAAAUGCGUAGAGAUCGGAAGGAACAUCUGUGGCGAAGGCGACUAUCUGGGCCAACACUGACACUGAGGCACGAAAGCGUGGGGAGCAAACAGGAUUAGAUACCCCAGUAGUCCCUGUCUCUUAUCU